This 73-nucleotide transfer RNA is filed under the name bacterium. Its description in RNAcentral is "tRNA-Ala". It matches the Rfam family "tRNA". Rfam says of the family: Transfer RNA (tRNA) molecules are approximately 80 nucleotides in length. Their secondary structure includes four short double-helical elements and three loops (D, anti-codon, and T loops). RNAcentral also lists the same sequence under 1 other name. The record is from RNAcentral.
GGGGGAUUAGCUCAGUUGGUAGAGCAUCUGCUUUGCACGCAGAGGGUCAGGAGUUCGAGUCCCCUAUCCUCCA